Small nuclear RNA from Ipomoea nil (Japanese morning glory), 197 nucleotides. It matches the Rfam family "U2 spliceosomal RNA". Rfam says of the family: U2 is a small nuclear RNA (snRNA) component of the spliceosome (involved in pre-mRNA splicing). The record is from Rfam. NCBI's taxonomy places the organism in Eukaryota, Viridiplantae, Streptophyta, Magnoliopsida, Solanales, Convolvulaceae.
AUACCUUUCUCGGCCUUUUGGCUAAGAUCAAGUGUAGUAUCUGUUCUUAUCAGUUUAAUGUCUGAUACGUGAACCAAUGGUUCACACGAUAUUAAUUUAAUUUUUUUUAGGGGGAAAGCCCAUUAAGGUAGCUUGCUAUCUGAGCUUUCAAGCGUCGCCAUUGUGUUGCACUACCGCUUUGGCCUGGCGCACCCUAC